GCAGACACAUUCCAGCCAAUCAGCAGCAGACCCUCCCUCCCAGACCCUCCCUCCUCCUGGACAGCAUCCAUUGUGAAGCUGCAUUCUUAGUGAGCUGUAGUGAGGAGGUGGGAGGGUCUGGGAGGGAGGGUCUGCUGCUGAUUGGCUGGAAUGUGUCUG
This is a non-coding RNA of Pelobates cultripes (western spadefoot toad), 159 nucleotides long. Lineage: Eukaryota; Metazoa; Chordata; Amphibia; Anura; Pelobatidae. The record is from the annotation of a GenBank genome assembly.